Molecule: long non-coding RNA, 5989 nt
Organism: Columba livia (rock pigeon)
Lineage: Eukaryota; Metazoa; Chordata; Aves; Columbiformes; Columbidae
Exons: 2
Source: RefSeq, a predicted model, not a curated record
GAGAAAAGGAGAUGGAGCAGCUUGGACGGGUGGAUCUGAAACAGGUUCCUGGAGCUGAAACAAGGGGAGGUGGGAGCUCACAAUGAUGGUGGCACCAGCGCUGGAAGAGUGAAGAUCUCCUGGCUGCCCCUCCGGCUGAUGGCUCCUGUCUGCGAAACAGAGAAAAACCAGGGAAGUUUGUUGUUCUUCCUGACUAAAGCGACGCACGGGGGAACGAGCAGAGCGGUGGUCGGGCACCCAGGACACUGCAGGAUGCCAUAAGCAUCUCAGCUGCAAUUUGUUACUGGUUUUCCACUUAAAGGUUUCUCCAUAAUACUUUAAUGUGGGAGCACGCGGAGCUUUAUGGAUGGUCUCAUAUUUCGCAGCUGACAUAUCUUCAGCCAAAGUAUGUCAGCUACAGGAGAGGGCAAGGCUUUUCACUGGCUUUGGGAGUUCUUCUUCCUCUGUCAUAAACCACAUAAAAGAAAAAUACAAAUGAUCAGCUCUCCAAAAUUGCUAUUUAUUACCUCAUCAUGAAGCCGUCUACUGGACUCUGCAGUGGUAUUGAGUAAUAUCAUUACUUAAACCAUAAAGAGGUUUAAGUAUUUAUUACUCAAAAUUGAGAAAAUUAGCAUCCAUAUGGAUCCUAUUGUUUUAAGACCAGUAAUGCUGCCAAAACAAGUGGUGUUAACAUUCCAAACUACAGACUGUCAUAAUUUCUCGUCUAGUGUUUCAUUCUUUCAUUUGGUAUUUAUAAUACCUUUGAAUUGAGGAACUGAAUGGAUCAUAAAAUCUCUCAUAUCAGAUAAAUCAUUUAACAGCUAGCCUACUGUUCAGAACCUGAUUUAUGGUGGCAACGAGUGAAAGGAAUUAACAUCUGCUGACCUAAGGAAGACAGACUAAGUUGAUUUGGGAUAAUCUUUCUCUAGUAAAGGGACAAAAGAAAAAGCACACUCUAAAAAAUUUAACUACUUAAUUUGCAAUACAUAGCACCUUGGUAGGUAGUCAGACAGGAUAUCCUAAACUUCCAUCCCUGGAAAAAAUUAUGGAGUGAAACUCCAUGAAAUCAAUUUCCAGGCAUGUGAGGAAUAAAAGAGGGAUUGGGAACAGCCAACCUGGAUAUACUGAGGGCAGAUCAUGCUUGACCAAACUGAUUGUGUGCUACAGUGAAACGAUAGACUCUUUCGAAAGGGGAGAGCUGGCAAUGUCUUUUAUCCUGACUUCAGUGAGGUUUUAAUGCAGAUUUUAUAGCAUCUGUAUAGUUGAACUGAAGAAACACAGACUGGAUGGGUGCUCUGCAGAGCGGGUGGAGAACUCACUGGACCACUGGGUUCAAAAAGGAGAAGUCAACAGGCAACCAGUUACAAGUGGCAUUUCUCAAAGGUCAAAUGGGGCUGAUACAGAUUAACAUCUCCAUCGAGGACAGGGACGGCAGGACAUAGUGCAAUGCUGGGGAUGGCAACUCUUGGGGAAAGUGGUCAUUAUUUUGGAGAGCAUGGUUGCCAUUCACAGGGACUUCAAACUCUGCAUGCUGGAGGGAAUGGGCCACUAAGAACUUCAGGAAGUGCACCAAACUAGGUUUAUCCAGCCUGGAGAAGACUAAGGAGGAAUCUAAUUGGUGUCUUCAGCUGAGCAUAAAGAGGUAUUUCAGAGAAGAAAGGGGCAGACUCCUCUUGAAGGUGGCAGUGAAAGGACAAGCAGCUGAAGAUCCAAGUUAUAACAACAGACAUUCCAACGGGAUAUAAAGGGAAAGAAAUUUCACAAUGGAUUAGUCAAGCAGUGGAGUAGGUUGCUCAGCGAGGUUGUGAAAUCUCCAUCAUUGCAGACUUUCAAAACUCAGUUGGACUUGGCCUUGAGCAACAUGAUGUAAUUUUGAAGUCAGAGCCGCUCUGAGCAGGAGGUUGGACAUCAUGACCUCCAGAGGUCCUUCCAACUCAAAUUAUUCUAUGAUGUUGUGAAAAAUCUUCAAUACGAAUGCUGAUCUCCCCUUAGAGGACGCCCCUUCAGCCAUCCAGUGGAAUGCUUGAAGUAGAUAUCACUGCUGUUUUCCAAACUGCUGUACUUGUUCUGUGGACUAAAAGUCAACUUCCUUCUAUUCAACAACACUCUCAAGCAAAAUUAGAACACCAAAAAGCAACUUUCAAAGAACUAAAUAACAUUAAAAAAGAAGGUUGUGAGUAAGGCCCCCCCUCUCUGUACACCAGACAUUCACCAAGCAAGUUUAGUUGUAAUAUUUGGAUCAAUCUCAUAUCACAGAAACUACGUUCAAAAGAGAAGAAUUAGACUCUUACACUUGAGAGUCUUUGCCGCACACUAAACUUAAAAUAGAAAGCACACACUCCUUUUAUUUCAGAAUCAAGAGCUUAUAUUGCAAGUUGACCAUUUCUGCAGAGCAACAAAGUGUUUUUGCCUCUCUGCUUAGAAAUUAGCUCCAGACAUCGCAAAUGCUGCAGUUACUAUCACCUCUGUUGUGUUAUGCUGGUGUAAUUGAUCAUUUAUUACUUUAUUCCUUUAUAUAACUUUAAUUUUAAAAAUAACUGCACACCAUGUAUAGCUUAUUGUCUAUUGGUGUUAAUCAUUCAUUGCAACCAUCACACACAAACGCUAUAUGCAAAGCCACACCUAGUGUAUGUGUUACAAACCGGCAUAAAGAUCCUUCACCCUGCUGAUGAGAAAGGCUCAUCUCAUGUUUUCUCAGAUAAAUUGUUCUGUAUUUAUUAACAUCUAUGCCGGGAAUAAUAACUUUUUUCUAAACAUGGAGUACUGGUAUAAAAUAAAACUAAUACCAUAUGAUAUAAAAGCUAAAUUACGUACUCCACCUUUUCAGCCGCCAAUAUUUAAAAUUAAAACAAAAACCAAACCAAAAUGUUGAUUACAGUGUAAUAACAACUACCACAUAUAUUCCGUUUCAUAUAAUAUAAACAGAAAGUCCAUUUUGCUGAAAAGAGCUCCAUUCCAGAAUCAGAGUUCAUCCGAUGUGAUGAGCUAGUUUCUAUGGCAACUGCUUUCUCUUUUACAUACACUAGAGACGGCACAAAAUGUCAGUUCUCUCCUAAGCCAACGGAGCAUUUUUAAUCAGCAAAUGAUAAUUUAUGCACCAUUAUAUAUGGCUUCCAAAGAUGUUUUUACUGAACAUUUUAAAUGCUGAAGAGCCUGAAGUCUGAAAGGACAGAGAAGCCAGUUGAGUGGCACCUCCUGCACCGAAGUCUCACUGUCUCAUUUCAGUCGUAUCGUAAAAAGCAAGAGUCGAGGAAAAAUGUGGAAGAGAUCAUAGAUGAUCACCCGCUACAGCACGGGAACGCUUUGAUGGUUCCAUUAAGCGAGGAAGUGGCAGAUGUUUAUAGCUUGUUCAACAGCCCUUUGAAAGGCACCUCGAGCAGAAGCAGCAGCUCCGACGUGGGGCCACGAGCCGGGUGUCUGACACAAAACAACCACCAUGGCCCAGGUUGAAUAUCUCUAUAGGACCCAUCAUCAGAUCCACGAUUCCAGCAGAAAUUCCCCAUCAAUGGGAUCCACCCAACCCUGAGUCAUCGACAAUGAGUAACAACCAAGGGAAACCACGUAAGCGCCACGACAAAUAUUUGGUACUUCGAAUAUUUUACAUCAACAGUCAUGUUCAUUAUCCUGGGUGGAUUGGUGGUAAAUUAAACAUGCUGCAAUACAGUCAAAAGCUUUUGUUUAGGAAAGGCUAAAAGGGAACGGCUGUCCGUCUGCACAAGUCUGACUGUCAGCCCAAGUAAAAUAUAACAAACAAAUAUUUAGAUUGUCCGCAGAGAAAGCCUGCAGAGCAAACAAUGCGCUUCUUCUCACGCCAAAAGCAUCUUCUAUUAAGAAAAAAAAACAAAGUAAAAACAAGCCACAGGAUUUAUUUACUCAGAAUUGUAUACAGAAGUGACUUCAGUAGCACCAUCAACAUCGGAAUGUUCACAGGCUACAUCUAUCUGUGCCCUCCAGACACGAGCUAGCAAACUGCUGCCACUGAUACCAGCCAAAUGUCCCUGUUGGAACGGGUGUGUGCAGAUAUCAGAACAAUUCCAUGAAGCAGAAGAGCUGAUCAGUGAUUUAUCUGUACGGUAACAAUAGGGCCUUUCAGAUCAAAGAUUAAGAAAGUCUCCUAUUGUGAAACAAAUGCUCCCAAAUUCCUUCUGUCUUAGUGUAGUGCAGAAAAGUUAUGUUACAGCAAUAUCUACAUGCAGAAAUCGUGCAUGUGCUAGGGAAUUUAGUUAUAAUUUAAGUAUAAUUAUAUAAUUAAAUUAAGUAUAUAAUAUUUCUACUAUUUUCUUUUCUGUGUUUUCUCUUGUCAAUAGUUGAUAAAGCUUCCAUCCCAUCAGCACAGUACCGCUGCGGGCUGACUACGUAUAUGGAGGCAAAAUAAAUCUCUUCUGUUUCCCCCACUUUGUUGAUACAGUAACGAUCUAUACAGAACCAUAAACGUGCACUGAGGAUUUGCUGGAAUGAAAAUACUGAUAGUUGCAGAAAGAUGACUCUUACAAGUGCAAAGAAGGACAUUUUGGAAGAGGAGAAGCCAGAAGAGAAGGGAAAGGAUGCCCUGCACAUCGGGAAGGAGCCGCUGAUUUCUGAGGGGGUGGAUGGUAAAGCCGAGAGGAUUACGGGAAGCGCAAGGAGCAGGAUAGGAAAAAGGAAAAGGAUGCAUCGGCCAUGGAAAAUACCUUAUUAAUUCAUCUUGCUGCCUCCAACCUGCUCUUUUUUUUAUAACGACCUCCAUUCUCAAUGCGUGUGUCUGUACGAUUUCAGAACUGCUCAAGGUUUUCCUUUCCCAACCAGUAAGGGUUGAGAGCCCCAAGACACCCCCAAACAUCUCUUAUAGCAGCCUAAUUGUUAAAGAGCACAAACUUCAAAUGUUAAAAUUAAAUACAAUGACAUCAGUGACCAAUACUGGCAAAAUGCACCUUGGCGCUCGAGCUUCUCCUGACCCAAUUACGAACGGACGAAAACAGGGGAUUUGCCAAUUAUCUCGUAACAGAACCUGGGAAGAGAAUUCAGUUUCCUCACGGAAACUUCUUUUCUCCUCUCGCUUUAGUGCAGAGCCUUGUAUUUGAAGUUCCAGGGGUAACAUUUAUCUUCUUUUUCUUGCCCGAAGGUCAACGGUCAAAGAACAAGCACGAAAAUGAUCCAACUUUGUACAGCAGCUGGAACGUGAGAAUCUUUGAGCUGGUUGAGGGCACGUGUCAGAUGCUGGGGAGAGAAUGAGACUCGCAGGAUAAAAGGGAAAUAGAAAGGUACAACUGGCACCACAGCCCAUCUGGCAUCGGUUAUUAAAAUUUCCUAACCUUGCUAUCUUAUUUCACAGAAGCAAACGAGAUGUAUUAUUCUCUGUAAUCAGAAGUCUUGCUUCAGUAGCAAGGCUGGUUUUGUUAAAACAAAGGACGAUCUCAAUCAGCCAAGAUGGUCCUUGUUUUGUGAACUAGCGUAUAAACUAAAAUUAUUGAGGGAGGCGGAGAACGAAUGGCCAAAGCGUAGCUUAAAAACGCUCCUAAUGAAAAUCCAGAUAAUAUUAAAAAAAAGCCUAAAUUAAAUAGAAGUAGCGAUGCAAAGACACCCUUAAAAAAAACAGAAGUCCUGUAUUAUUAACUACUAUUUAAAGAAUAACAAUAUUAUGGCAGUUCAUCGAAAACAUAUAGGAUUCAAAAGACUACAAGAACACAGCAUGGUAUAAAAGCCUUUGUACUGCUUUGACUUUUAUUGACCUACACGUCAAUUUACUCCUCCCCAAGCAUUACAACCCUAGGUGAAAAAAUCAAAGCAAGCCUCCCAGAAAUGGAUAAAUCCAAGAGCUAAAGAAGAAUGCAACUGUUACCCAGAAAUCCAUCAGCAACACAGAAGGUGAUCCACGUAAAUCAAGUUCCUUUCCUGAAAAUAUAUUAAACUUGUAUUUCAAAGCAGCAGCAACAUUAUUUUAUAUUGACUUAAAAUCUGGCAACGGAAAUGGUAAUUUUUAUACUUCAGUUCUGAUUAAAGCACUAAUAAAUGUACUCGUAUUUGAACAAAA